This is a non-coding RNA of Rhodococcus sp. MEB064, 141 nucleotides long. NCBI's taxonomy places the organism in Bacteria, Bacillati, Actinomycetota, Actinomycetes, Mycobacteriales, Nocardiaceae. The record is from Rfam.
UGCGAGUAUGACCGGAGCGGGUCACCAGCACUCGCUCCGUGCUGGUGAGGGGAACCCGGUGAGAUUCCGGGACGGUCGCGCCACUGUGAACGGACUAGCAGUCCGUGAGUCAGAUCGCCGAGCCGUGCACGGUAACUCGAA